UGUGUGUGUGUAUGUGUGUGUGUGUGUGUGUGUGUUCAUACAUAUACUCUCACACACAUACCUACACACUCACACA
This 76-nucleotide microRNA precursor is filed under the name Marmota monax (woodchuck). The record is from RNAcentral. Lineage: Eukaryota; Metazoa; Chordata; Mammalia; Rodentia; Sciuridae.